UAGGGAAUCUUCGGCAAUGGACGAAAGUCUGACCGAGCAACGCCGCGUGAGUGAAGAAGGCUUUCGGAUCGUAAAACUCUGUCGUUAGAGAAGAACAAGGACGUUAGUAACUGAACGUCCCCUGACGGUAUCUAACCAGAAAGCUACGGCUAACUACGUGCCAGCAGCCGCGGUAAUACGUAGGUGGCAAGCGUUGUCCGGAUUUAUUGGGCGUAAAGCGAGCGCAGGCGGUUUCUUAAGUCUGAUGUGAAAGCCCCCGGCUCAACCGGGGAGGGUCAUUGGAAACUGGGAGACUUGAGUGCAGGAGAGGAGAGUGGAAUUCCAUGUGUAGCGGUGAAAUGCGUAGAUAUAUGGAGGAACACCAGUGGCGAAGGCGGCUCUCUGGUCUGUAACAGACGCUGAGGCUCGAAAGCGUGGGGAGCGAACAGG
This 429-nucleotide ribosomal RNA is filed under the name Gemmatimonadota bacterium. Its description in RNAcentral is "Gemmatimonadetes bacterium partial 16S ribosomal RNA". It matches the Rfam family "Bacterial small subunit ribosomal RNA", at positions 355 to 776 of the family's 1533-position model. The record is from RNAcentral. Lineage: Bacteria; Pseudomonadati; Gemmatimonadota.